ACGCCAACAUUCACUCGCCGCCGAUUCGAAAAGAUCGCCGGAUUUGACGGGCCAUAUGCUACCCGUUUCUGAGCAAUAAACCCGGCCCGCUUAAAAAAAACCAUUUGAACUGAGAAGAUGACCACCACUCAUGCACUGAGAAGAACGUUGCUAAGAGCUCUGAAACCCCGACCAUCUUCAUCGUCGUGUUCUUCUGUUCAAACAAGCCGGAGUUGUUCGCUGUUUUCACUCAGCAAUAAUUCUCCAAACCCUCUGAUUUCCCCCAAUUAUUUUCCUUCCCCAAACCCUAACUUCUCACGUAGUAGCAUCUUUUGUCGCCGUCUUUCUUCUCUGAUUGGGGAGUCUCACGGACCUGCCGCAAUUGAUUACAGCUCUAGGCUGCAGGAAGAUGAGUUCAACAGGUUGGCUAAUUCCACCAUCCACGAUCUCCUUGAGAAGCUCGAGGAAUAUGGCGACUCUGUGGAGAUUGAUGGGUUCGACGUUGACUACGGGAAUGAGGUAUUAACCUUGAAGCUUGGUAGUUUGGGAACUUACGUGAUAAACAAGCAAACACCGAAUAGGCAGAUUUGGAUGUCAUCUCCAGUGAGUGGACCCUCUAGGUUCGAUUGGGACCAGAAUGCUGAAGCUUGGAUUUAUAGGCGAACUAAAGAAGCCCUGAAUAAGCUUUUGGAAACUGAGUUGUCUAAUCUGUGUGGGGGAUGCAUUAGCCUUUCUUAAGUUUCUUUCGAGUGACAUUUCGUUGACGUCAAACUUCUCCGUCAAAUCUCGUUUUGCUACUCUGGCUCCCCCAUCUGCCAGCACAGCCGCUCCUCCGCCUCUUCUGCCACCAGCAGCCGCUCCCGUAUACUUUGCAGCUCCUUUUUCAUUUUCUCCUCCCUUUCAAGGCUGUGCCUCAGUUCUUUCUCCAACUCUUCAUUUCUCUUCUGUAGCAUUUCAUGGCUUUCCGGUGGUGGUGCCGCCUUACCCGGUCGGGAAAUUGUUCGAUCGGUAUCCAUGUUUUGUAAUACGAUAAAUAUGUAGUAGAAAGGCAGAGAUUGGGUGCAAUAAUACCAUGAAUAACUAUAUAUAGUAGAAAACGUCGUAAGAAUUACGUGUUUUUAUACGAGUAUCUUGUUUGAAU
This is an RNA transcript of Erythranthe guttata (spotted monkey flower), 1120 nucleotides long. It is a transcript of the gene named frataxin-like protein, with no coding region annotated. The record is from RefSeq and is a predicted model, not a curated record. Lineage: Eukaryota; Viridiplantae; Streptophyta; Magnoliopsida; Lamiales; Phrymaceae.